CUUUUAUUCGGCUCUAUCGCUGUCCGCCAGCUGGCGGAGAGAGGAAAGUCGGGGCAGUAUCGAGCACCAUACUUCCUAACAGGAAGGAUCCGUCAGCUGGCGGAGACAGAAAGUGCCGCAGAAAAUAACCGCCCUCCGUAGCUUUAGCGAAGGAGGGCAAGGGUGAAAACGUGAGGUAAGAGCUCACGAUGCCAAUUGGCGACAGUUGGGAUGGGUAAACCUUAUGGACUGAAAGACCAAAUAAACUCCGGUGAUCGCCGUUUAGGUGGUUGAAGGCUUGCUCAGCCAAAAUUAUCCGGAAAGGGUAGGUUGUUUGAGCUUAAGGGUGACCUUAAGUCUAGAGAAAUGAUAGAGGUCCGAGCAAUCGGAUUACAGGAUCCCGCUUAUACGUAUGAAAGCUUU
Molecule: RNase P RNA, 402 nt
Filed under: Bacteroidota bacterium
Lineage: Bacteria; Pseudomonadati; Bacteroidota
Description: Bacteroidetes bacterium RNase P RNA component class A
Rfam family: Bacterial RNase P class A
About the family: Ribonuclease P (RNase P) is a ubiquitous endoribonuclease, found in archaea, bacteria and eukarya as well as chloroplasts and mitochondria.
Source: RNAcentral